UUCGGGGGGGGCAAGCGUUGUUCGGAAUUACUGGGCGUAAAGGGCUCGUAGGCGGCCAACUAAGUCGGAUGUGAAAUCCCCAGGCUCAACUUGGGAACUGCAUCCGAUACUGGAUGGCUUGAAUUCGGGAGAGGGAUGCAGAAUUCCAGGUGUAGCGGUGAAAUGCGUAGAUAUCUGGAGGAAUACCGGUGGCGAAGGCGGCAUCCUGGACCGACAUUGACGCUGAGGAGCGAAAGCUAGGGGAGCAAACGGG
This 253-nucleotide ribosomal RNA is filed under the name uncultured bacterium. RNAcentral describes it as "partial 16S ribosomal RNA". It matches the Rfam family "Bacterial small subunit ribosomal RNA", at positions 524 to 776 of the family's 1533-position model. The record is from RNAcentral.